RNAcentral lists this ribosomal RNA (384 nucleotides) under uncultured bacterium. Its description in RNAcentral is "bacterial SSU rRNA". It matches the Rfam family "Bacterial small subunit ribosomal RNA", at positions 29 to 414 of the family's 1533-position model. The record is from RNAcentral.
AUUGAACGCUGGCGGCAUGCUUUACACAUGCAAGUCGAACGGCAGCGCGGGGGCAACCCUGGCGGCGAGUGGCGAACGGGUGAGUAAUGCAUCGGAACGUAUCCUGUAAUGGGGGAUAACGUAGCGAAAGUUACGCUAAUACCGCAUACGCUCGAGAGAGGAAAGUGGGGGAUCGCAAGACCUCACGUUAUAGGAGCGGCCGAUGUCCGAUUAGCUAGUUGGUGGGGUAAAGGCCUACCAAGGCGACGAUCGGUAGCUGGUCUGAGAGGAUGAUCAGCCACACUGGGACUGAGACACGGCCCAGACUCCUACGGGAGGCAGCAGUGGGGAAUUUUGGACAAUGGGGGCAACCCUGAUCCAGCCAUGCCGCGUGAGUGAAGAAGG